RNAcentral lists this ribosomal RNA (1024 nucleotides) under Chryseobacterium sp. RNAcentral describes it as "bacterial SSU rRNA". It matches the Rfam family "Bacterial small subunit ribosomal RNA", at positions 244 to 1273 of the family's 1533-position model. The record is from RNAcentral. Lineage: Bacteria; Pseudomonadati; Bacteroidota; Flavobacteriia; Flavobacteriales; Weeksellaceae.
GAUAGUUGGUGGGGUAACGGCCCACCAAGUCAGUGAUCUUUAGGGGGCCUGAGAGGGUGAUCCCCCACACUGGUACUGAGACACGGACCAGACUCCUACGGGAGGCAGCAGUGAGGAAUAUUGGACAAUGGGUGAAAGCCUGAUCCAGCCAUCCCGCGUGAAGGACGACGGCCCUACGGGUUGUAAACUUCUUUUGUAUAGGAAUAAACCCAGAUACGUGUAUCUGGCUGAAGGUACUAUACGAAUAAGCACCGGCUAACUCCGUGCCAGCAGCCGCGGUAAUACGGAGGGUGCAAGCGUUAUCCGGAUUUAUUGGGUUUAAAGGGUCCGUAGGCGGACCUGUAAGUCAGUGGUGAAAUCUCAUAGCUUAACUAUGAAACUGCCAUUGAUACUGCAGGUCUUGAGUAAAUUAGAGGUAGCUGGAAUAAGUAGUGUAGCGGUGAAAUGCAUAGAUAUUACUUAGAACACCAAUUGCGAAGGCAGGUUACCAUGAUUUAACUGACGCUGAGGGACGAAAGCGUGGGGAGCGAACAGGAUUAGAUACCCUGGUAGUCCACGCCGUAAACGAUGCUAACUCGUUUUUGGGGCUUCGGCUUCAGAGACCAAGCGAAAGUGAUAAGUUAGCCACCUGGGGAGUACGUUCGCAAGAAUGAAACUCAAAGGAAUUGACGGGGGCCCGCACAAGCGGUGGAUUAUGUGGUUUAAUUCGAUGAUACGCGAGGAACCUUACCAAGGCUUAAAUGGGAAAUGACAGGUUUAGAAAUAGAUCCUUCUUCGGACAUUUUUCAAGGUGCUGCAUGGUUGUCGUCAGCUCGUGCCGUGAGGUGUUAGGUUAAGUCCUGCAACGAGCGCAACCCCUGUCACUAGUUGCUACCAUUAAGUUGAGGACUCUAGUGAGACUGCCUACGCAAGUAGAGAGGAAGGUGGGGACGACGUCAAAUCAUCACGGCCCUUACGCCUUGGGCCACACACGUAAUACAAUGGCCGGUACAGAGGGCAGCUACCAUGCGAAUGGAUGCAAAUC